Chelonus insularis is the source of this 1467-nucleotide long non-coding RNA. RefSeq lists it as uncharacterized. Lineage: Eukaryota; Metazoa; Arthropoda; Insecta; Hymenoptera; Braconidae. The record is from RefSeq and is a predicted model, not a curated record. The transcript is spliced from 2 exons.
UAAUAUUAUUAUAUUCAUGACUUUUCUUUUAUCAAUAAUUAUUCAAAACAGACCUCUCUAGCAACAGACCUAAUUCGACUUUUUUCAAUUUGAUCAAGUCUGUACAUAUAAGUUGAAAUGAAAAAGACUAUGGCCUUAUAUUGAGAGAGAGUUAUAUUAUGAAAUUUUAUUUACAAUAGAAUUUCUUAUGUAACGAUAAUAAAUCGAAGAACGUGUUGAAUGGGAUAUUUAGGUAUCACAUUUACUUGUCUUAGCUUAAUCUUCCAGUUGCUCCAGUUGCAGUUUUAUCACUAAUUAUAGUGGAGACAUGAUAUCUAGGUUACUGUUAUGAGAAACAUUCGAAGUCCAUAUCACUUUGAUCACGCUAGUGAAGUUUAGAUGCUAUUUUUCUUAUUUUAAAACAAGUCUCCCUGGAUGUGAUUAUAUGGAAAAUAUAUUCUGUUUGUCAUUGGUUCCAAGAUGGAUAAAACAUGAAACUAAAAUAUUAAAUAACAAAAUGGUCACUUCAUGUUGAUGUAUCUUUGAAAUCUUGAAAGCCACGUGGGUGCAGUCAUAUGUACAAUACAGAUACAGAUGUAGACAUUGUGAUGUGAUAGAUGAAUACAUUUGAUACAGGUUUAUAUAGUUAUCUAUGUAUAUUAUAAGUGUACUCGUGUCGUUAGUAGAUGUUGGUAUGACUAUAAAUGCAAGCAAUAGUGAAUGAAAUGACCUCGCGUCAUGGUUCGACUCAUCAGCAACAUUUCUUGAUGAUAUUAGAUUUUUUAAGUUCAUUAUGGAAAUGUCUGAUCAUUUUCUUCAUUCCACGUGGAUUUUUUUUUUAAUGCUAUCCAAUUAUAUGUUGUUAUUUAUGAAUUAUUGAGAUCAUUAUUUCCAGUCCCAUUAAUGACAAAUUUAAAUGAAUAUUAUUGAGAGUUAAUUUAAAACAUCUUGAACUAAAAAAAAAAAUUGAUUGGAUUGAAGAAAAAAAAAUAUUCAUUGAUUUCGUUAUUCGAUUGUAAAAUUGCCUAGAAAAUCAUUGCUAUAAUUUGAUCGCAGUAAUUAUACAUUAACUACUGAUGAUGAAUCACUUUUACAAGCUAAUUGUGCUGCCUUGACUUACAAAGUAUUUAUGAAAGAAUUAAGUAUGUUAUUUUCUUAAGGGUUUUGUUUGAUAUUAGAAUAUAAUACAAAUUAGUUCGAGAAUAGUUUUAUUUUGAAUGAAAAUGUAAUUUAAAAUAAAAAAUUCUGUAUUCUACACAAGUUUUUUAUAAUAGUGCAAUGACUUUAACUCAGUAUAAGGCAUGCUAAUUAGAUGAAUUAAGUGUCACUAUAUAUCUUUUAACAUGCAAAUUAAAAUACCGGAAUUCAAAAUGCUCUUCACGUAUAAGUCAAUUUUUUAAUUUGUAUUUUCAAAGUCAAGCAUUAUAGCCUUUCUACUUAUUAACGAGUCGUAAAAGGUCAUUAGCCAACUUAAUAUCUUUCUACUCA